GUCGUAACAAGGUUUCNGUAGGUGAACCUGCGGAAGGAUCAUUUCUUGGUCAUUUAGAGGAAGUAAAAGUCGUAACAAGGUCUCCGUUGGUGAACCAGCGGAGGGAUC
Molecule: ribosomal RNA, 108 nt
Filed under: Ophiocordyceps sinensis
Lineage: Eukaryota; Fungi; Ascomycota; Sordariomycetes; Hypocreales; Ophiocordycipitaceae
Description: partial 18S ribosomal RNA
Rfam family: Eukaryotic small subunit ribosomal RNA
Source: RNAcentral